AGUAACGGCGAGUGACAGGGAAAAGCCCAAAUUUGUAAUCUGGCACUUUUUACAAGUGUCCGAGUUGUAAUUUGUAGAGCUGUUAUCCGUGCUGGACCAUGUACAAGUCUGUUGAAAAGCAGCAUCAUUGAAGGUGAAAAUCCUGUAGAUGAUAUGGACUACCAGUACUUUUGUGAUACGGUUUCUAAGAGUCGAGUUGUUUGGGAAUGCAGCUCAAAGUGGGUGGUAAAUUCCAUCUAAGGCUAAAUAUAAGUGAGAGACCGAUAGCAAACAAGUACCGUGAGGGAAAGAUGAAAAGAACUUUGAAAAUAGAGUUAACAGUACGUGAAAUUGCUGAAAGGGAAACGUUUGAAGUUAGUUUUGUAUUCGUUGGAUCAGCUUCGCAAGGAGUGUAUUCUGAUGAUAAGCAAGUCAACAUCAAUCUAUGAGUGCUGGAGAAGGGUUUUGAGAAUGUAGCAAUUUAAUUGUGUUAUAGCUUGAGACUUGGAUACAGUGCUUUGGAUUGAGGAACGCGUAGUAAGCUUUGAGCGGAUUCGAAAGGAUCUCCUUACUAUGGAUGUUGGUGAAAUAACUUUAAGCGACCCGUCUU
RNAcentral lists this ribosomal RNA (589 nucleotides) under Melampsora sp. HNMAP3201. RNAcentral describes it as "eukaryotic LSU rRNA". It matches the Rfam family "Eukaryotic large subunit ribosomal RNA", at positions 82 to 655 of the family's 3401-position model. The record is from RNAcentral. Lineage: Eukaryota; Fungi; Basidiomycota; Pucciniomycetes; Pucciniales; Melampsoraceae.